Molecule: non-coding RNA, 149 nt
Filed under: Chlorocebus sabaeus (green monkey)
Lineage: Eukaryota; Metazoa; Chordata; Mammalia; Primates; Cercopithecidae
Source: Rfam by way of RNAcentral
GCUGGGUGUGGUGGCGUGCACCUGUAAUCCCAGCUACUCGGGAGGCUGAGGCAGGAGCAUUGCUUGAACCCAGGAGGCAGGAGGUUGCAGUGAGCUGAGAUCAUGCCACUGCACUCCAGCCUGGGUGACAAAGCAAGACUCUUUCUAAA